Molecule: RNA transcript, 1514 nt
Organism: Ananas comosus (pineapple)
Lineage: Eukaryota; Viridiplantae; Streptophyta; Magnoliopsida; Poales; Bromeliaceae
Exons: 13
Source: RefSeq, a predicted model, not a curated record
CCUCAUCUCUUUCGCGCCAUUUAAAACCGCUCACUCUUCCCACCUCUCUCUCUCUCUCACCUCGCCUACGAUGGCCGGAACCCUCGUCCCCUUUCGCCCCCAACUCUACCUCCGGCCGCCGCUCCACUCCCGCAGAGUUCCAUCCAAUCACCGAUCUAGGGUUUCGGCCGAACUCGGGGAGAGCUCCUCCCCGUCUUCGUCCUCCUCUCUCUCCACGAGCUCGGAAACCCUAACGAUCUCUCCUCCUCCCGGGUUCCAGCCGCCGCGGCCGAAGCGGUUCUCAGUGCGCCCUGACAAGCUCCUUGAUAUCCUCGCCGCCUCGCUCGCCUUGCCCUUCCGCCUUGGCACCGGAGCUUUCGUUCUAGGAUAUUCUGUAUCCUUUGUCUCUGAAGAUGCUAUUCCAUCGACUGAAUAUGCUAUGCGUAUUGGAGGUCUGGCGCUGAAAGAGACAUCAAAAUUAGGCCCUCGCCCAGAAAAGCCAAUCGAAAUUUAUGAAUUUGAGAGUUGUCCAUUUUGUCGAAAGGUGAGGGAGAUUGUAAGCAUAUUGGAUCUGGAUGUCUUGUUCUAUCCUUGCCCAAGAAAUGGCCCGAAUUUCCGUCCUAAAGUCUUACAGAUGGGUGGAAAACAACAAUUUCCCUACAUGGUGGACCCAAACACAGGCGUGGCGAUGUAUGAAUCAGAUGACAUCAUAAAAUAUCUGGUUAAUAAAUAUGGUGAUGGAACCAUUCCUACAAUGCUCUCCCUUGGCCUUCUCACUACUCUAACAGCAGGCUUUGCUAUGAUUGGUCGGAUGGGAAAGGGCUCUUCGUAUACUCCUUCAAAACUCCCUCCUCAACCACUUGAAUUAUGGGCAUAUGAGGCCUCUCCUUUUUGUAAAAUUGUUCGUGAAGUGCUGGUUGAAUUAGAAUUACCCCACAUACUUCGAAGCACUGCACGCGGCAGCCCAAAAAGGCAGACACUAUAUGAGAAAGUUGGACAUUUUCAGGUAUUGCUACUCAAAUCAAAAUAAAAUUGCAAGUCAAGAGAUGUCAAUGCAAAAAUAUAAAGCUGAGCCUCCUAUUUCAAAGUGGCCUGUAGCAGAGCAAUGCCGGUGCCUUACUUAGAAGAUGUUAACGCCGGAGUGAAAAUGUUCGAGAGUGCUGAGAUAAUAGACUAUCUCAGAGCAACAUAUGUCCUGUCUUAACAAUUAAAUCUUUACUUUAUAUAAUUACUUUUUUAGUCCUGUAUAUGUGUUGUUGUGUUUUCAACUUUUCUUUAUUCCUUCCUAAUUUUUGUAUAAUAUCCAAUUCUUUCAUGGUCGCAUGAACAAUUGCUUGAUUGCGAAGCAUGGGCAUUUAGCACAAUAAUAUAGUGCAGUGCCUGUAAUAACCUGUAUUCUUUUACUUGAGGUCGUGGUCCUUUCUUCUUGAAGAAGCGUCCUUGUGUUGCUCCUGUUUUGUUGGUUCGUAAAAUAAGAUGUGUAAAUUGAGCUUGAACUUCUGUUAAAGGGGCUUGUACGCUAACAUUUUGAUUUA